Molecule: small RNA, 84 nt
Filed under: Pantoea sp. GM01
Lineage: Bacteria; Pseudomonadati; Pseudomonadota; Gammaproteobacteria; Enterobacterales; Erwiniaceae
Description: sroB RNA
Rfam family: sroB RNA
Source: RNAcentral
CGCCAGCAAGAGAUUGCUGGUGAUAACCAAAAUCAUAAACAAAUUCCUCUUUGACGGGCCAAUAUUAUUAUUGGCCUUCUUUUU